GCCGCGAUAAUUUGAUCGUGCAAAGGUAGCAUAAUAAUUAGUUUCUUAAUUAGGAACUGGAAUGAAAGGUCGAACGAGAAAAAGACUGUCUCAAUUUAAUUUAAAUUAGAAUUUUAUUUUUAAGUUAAAAAGCUUAAAUAUUUUUAAAAGACGAGAAGACCCUAUAGAGUUUUAUAUUUAUAUUUAUAUUUUUAAUUUAAGAAUUUUAUAAAAAAAUUUUUAUAUAGAUAUUUAAUUGGGGUGAUUGGAAAAUUAAAUAAACUUUUCUUAAAUAUUUUACAUUAAUAAAUGAAUAUAUGAUCCAUAUUUUAUGAUUAUAAGAUUAAAUUACCUUAGGAUAAAAA
RNAcentral lists this ribosomal RNA (344 nucleotides) under Onthophagus phanaeides. Its description in RNAcentral is "partial 16S ribosomal RNA". The record is from RNAcentral. Lineage: Eukaryota; Metazoa; Arthropoda; Insecta; Coleoptera; Scarabaeidae.